AUUGCGUUUGUGCAGUGACAUUCUUAUUAACGCCAGUAUUUCUGGGAAGAGCUGGCAGUUAAAGUGUUAAAGAAUCUUGCAGAGUGAUUUCUAUCUUCACAUGGUCUUUCCAUUGGAGCUGUUUUGGAGGCUCGACUGGUGCCGUACAUGAUGAUCGAGACUUCCACGACGAUGGUGUGGAGGCGGGCACGGACGGGUCGACUGGCCGCGCCUAUGCCUUGGCUCGCCUCGUCAGCGAGCGCCCCUGCACGUCCGGGAUGGAGGUCGUUGAUGGUGGUGGUGCUUGCUCCUUCUUCUGGCGAAAGUGCAUCAGCGAAAUAGUGUUUGCAAUCUCACCAAAAUUACUUAAGUCGUGGACAGGUGGCAAAGAAGUUGGUGCAACAACACUUUGUAGAAUUCAAUAGUUUAGCGUGUCUAAAUUUGUGCACACAAUCCAACGCCAAACGUAGAAUCAUAACAAGAAGUUGACGGACUCCAAAGGCACGGGGAAGAAAUCACGCCUGCUGGAAGAGAAGCGGAAGAACUCUGCACGUUAAGCAGCUAAAGGCGUGCAAUGGCGGCAUGCGGACCAGAUUUACACGGAUUGGUUCAACUCGCUCUGUCAGGGGCCUGUGCUGGAGGAACUGACCCAGCCGUCAGUCCAGUUCUGUCAUUUUGCCCUGUUGUUAUACAUGCAUGAUCAGAAUACAUUUUA
Molecule: long non-coding RNA, 694 nt
Organism: Penaeus vannamei (Pacific white shrimp)
Lineage: Eukaryota; Metazoa; Arthropoda; Malacostraca; Decapoda; Penaeidae
Source: RefSeq, a predicted model, not a curated record